GGGGCGCGCGACCGAGUGGAAGACGGAACGUCAACCGUCGUCGUCGUCGUCGCCGCCGCCGCCGCCGCCGCCGCCGCCGUUCGAGCUCGAGCGGCUCUCCUCCGGCGAUUACGAAGCCGACCUCGCGCGCGCGCUCGCGGCGUCCGAGACCCCGCGCGGGGACGUCGGCGUCGACCUCGAGAGCGUGCCCCCCGGCGAGGCGAGAGUGCUCCGCGAGACGUUGGAGCGGUCGAGGCGGGAGGAGGAGGAGCGUAGGCGCGCGAG
RNAcentral lists this long non-coding RNA (264 nucleotides) under Micromonas pusilla. Its description in RNAcentral is "long non-coding RNA (MPUS_LNC000017)". The record is from RNAcentral. Lineage: Eukaryota; Viridiplantae; Chlorophyta; Mamiellophyceae; Mamiellales; Mamiellaceae.